UGAACUUGACUUCAUCGAGCUUGUGAAGAUAUAAUUGAUUCAGAAUGUAUAGUUUAUCGUUACGCAUAGAUUCACACUGUCAAGCGAAAAGUUAACGAUCAAUGUUGAUUAGGCACCUGAAUUGUAAGUGGUUGGUAUCUUGUUGUUAUUUAGACGAGAGGUUACUUAUUCAAAUCCAUUUUCAAAUGAAUAACUUACAAGUAACUGAGUAACUUGUUAGUAAAGAACGAGGUACUAAUCAUGAAUUCAGUUUACACUUUGUAAAUAAAUAUUACUGAAUAAACUGAAUAAAUAAAUGGGCAAUAACAAGUAA
Tetranychus urticae (two-spotted spider mite) is the source of this 313-nucleotide non-coding RNA. The record is from RefSeq and is a predicted model, not a curated record. NCBI's taxonomy places the organism in Eukaryota, Metazoa, Arthropoda, Arachnida, Trombidiformes, Tetranychidae.